AUGUUCUCGCAAGAGCUGCUCAUCUCCACAACACUCGUUCUGCUUCUUCCCAUAUACUACUUGUGCCUGAGGGCUGGCUGUAGAUCAAAUAACCCAGCGGUGAUCCCAACAACUGGCCAAUACUGCACAUGUUCCCUUCCUUCGUGGCCAACCUCCACAACUUGCAGGAUUAUUUCACCCUUGUCCUCGCUGGAUCAGGUCACAACUUCAGGGCGCACGGCCCUCCUGGAACCGGAAUGCAGUUCUUCGUCACAUGCGACCCUGCCAACAUCCGGCACAUCUUCACGACCAACUACACCAACUUUCCCAAGGGUGCGGAGUUCGCCGCGAUCUUCGACAUCAUGGGUGGCAGCAUCUUCACCAUCGACGGUGAGCCAGCCCGUCGACAGCGUGCGAAAAUCAAGGGCGUACUCAGCAGCCAGCGGUUGCUUGCAAGGAUGGAGGCUUGCUGCCGCGACAAGGUUUAUGUUUGACAUGGCUGCUACUCCUCUCUUCGAUGUGGACCCUGGUCUCCUAUCUUGGGACAUGCCGCCCAUGGACGCUGCCGUUGCCAUGGACACGGUCAUGGAGGUGGCCUUAUUCCGAGUCAUGAUGCCAGCUUCUUGUUGGAGGUUGAUCAGGUGGCUAAACAUGGACCCUGAGAGGAAGCUCAAGGCAGCACACACGGUGCUAUGUGCCUUCGUCAUGGAGAUGAUGGAUAGGAGGAAGGUCAACACAUGUCGUGUUGGCAAUGACGAGGAACAAGAAGGUAUAGAUAUUUUUUCUUCCUUCCUCAACGACCCCGAUUAUGACGAUGAUGACUUGCUCCGUGCGAUGAUCAUUAGCUACAUGCUCGCUGCCAGGGACACAGUUGGAGCAACAUUGACAUGGAUUUUCUACAACCUUGCCCAACACCCUAAAAUUGUGUCAAUCAUCCGCAAAGAACUCUCACCCAUUGCAUCACGUAAAGUAGCGGCCGGUGUGGAUUCCAUGGUGAUCUUCGAGCCGAAUGAGACCAAAUCUCUGGUCUAUCUAAGAGCCGUCUUGUACGAGACUCUCAGGUUGUACCCAGCGGCGCCUCUUGAGCGCAAGGUAGUCGCCGCUGAUGAUAUCAUGCCGAGUGGCCAUGAGGUGCACACCGGCGACACCAUCUUUAUUUCUCUCCAUUCCAUGGGGAGAAUGCAGGGCAUAUGGGGUAAAGAUUGCCUGAACUACAAUCCAGAUAGGUGGUUCUCGGAGGAUGGCAACAAGCUAAGGUACAUACCAUCUCACAAGUUCUUGGCCUUCAACUCGGGCCCGAGGAUGUGCCUCGGGAAGGACAUCGCGGUUAUGCAGAUGAAGACAGUCAUCGCCUCAACAUUGUGGAACUUCGAUGUGGAGGUGAUGGAAGGGCAAAGCAUCCAGCCUAAGCCGUCUUGUAUACUGGAGAUGAAAAAUGGGCUUAUGGUUAAGCUGAAAAAGCGAGAAAUGUAA
Molecule: ribosomal RNA, 1452 nt
Filed under: Triticum aestivum (bread wheat)
Lineage: Eukaryota; Viridiplantae; Streptophyta; Magnoliopsida; Poales; Poaceae
Description: partial small subunit ribosomal RNA
Source: RNAcentral